AGGCUCUUGGUCUGGUUCCACGCUGGUGCUCCUUCCUGGAUAACCACACCGUGGAGCUUGAGGAGAACCCGAGAGCACCAUCAAUGAUGACUACAAAACCUAGUGAACCUGGGACAUCUCUGGAGGAGUGACUCGAAUGGGAGGAGAGAUCAGGGAUGCUAAACCUCAGUGACACAGCAGUUGGAAGCAAACAGCUCACUUUCACUCUCAAGAAGACAGAGAAGCAGCGAUUUCAACUGCAGGCUGAACACGACCAUCACGGGGACAGAAGGAAGAUCAGACGGGCUGCUGGACACUUGCAUUCUCACAGGGGAAGAAGAGGUGGUGGGAGAUGAAGAGGAAGGAAUAAUUGUGGUCACUAGUUGUUGACAAACAGGACUUUUGAUACUGCCUUAAAAUGUGUCUGAUCAGACAUCUGCAGAAAUCACUUUUGUGUUCAAGGGACAAUUCCAUUAUGCCAUCACUGACUCACAUUAAGAGACUAUAUCUGUGUGUCAGUCCUGUCUUUUUCCACAACAUCUCUCAGUACAGUCUAAACAGAACCUUGUGUUUUGUGAAGAACCAUAAAACAUUUUUAUCAACAUCUGCUCUUUACUGUUCUGUUCUGUUCUCUUACAUUUAUACACACAAAUUAAUUCCCAUUCAGCAUCAAUUCACUUUUACUGCGGAUCAUUGUAAAAGUGAAAUGCUUUUGAAUCUUUAUACUACUUUACAUCUAAGUCAUGGUUUUACUCCACAAAACUAACCAAUGCACAGAGUGGCAGACCAAAACUGAACAUGGCUGUGUGCUGUUUCACGUACUUCUACUGUGUAGUGUGUACUAAAUAUAUGCACUUUAUGAUGGGAUGUGGUCUUUUAUAGAGAAUGUGAAGCUGACGUCAAACCUGUUGAGUUCUGGGUAACUGCCAUACUGGAAGGAUCGCUUUCUUCUAGUGAGUUCAGGGCAGUAUUUAGAUUUUCUGUCAUGACUGUGAAAAAUGUCACCAUUGUAGGUCAUUCAUGCUGCAUCAUAACUUGCCGUAAUAACAAUGGAAUACAUUUUUUCACCUAUCCUACGUAUAAAAAACACCAAGGCAGCAGG
Long non-coding RNA from Megalobrama amblycephala (Wuchang bream), 1081 nucleotides. RefSeq lists it as uncharacterized. The record is from RefSeq and is a predicted model, not a curated record. Lineage: Eukaryota; Metazoa; Chordata; Actinopteri; Cypriniformes; Xenocyprididae. The transcript is spliced from 3 exons.